UGGGGAAUAUUGCGCAAUGGGCGAAAGCCUGACGCAGCGACGCCGCGUGGGGGAUGAAGGCCUUCGGGUUGUAAACCUCUUUCAGCAGGGAAGAAGCGAAAGUGACGGUACCUGCAGAAGAAGCACCGGCUAACUACGUGCCAGCAGCCGCGGUAAUACGUAGGGUGCAAGCGUUGUCCGGAAUUAUUGGGCGUAAAGAGCUCGUAGGCGGUUUGUCGCGUCUGCUGUGAAAACUCGGGGCUUAACUCCGGGCUUGCAGUGGGUACGGGCAGACUAGAGUGUGGUAGGGGAGACUGGAAUUCCUGGUGUAGCGGUGAAAUGCGCAGAUAUCAGGAGGAACACCGGUGGCGAAGGCGGGUCUCUGGGCCAUAACUGACGCUGAGGAGCGAAAGCGUGGGGAGCGAACA
Molecule: ribosomal RNA, 407 nt
Filed under: uncultured Actinomycetales bacterium
Lineage: Bacteria; Bacillati; Actinomycetota; Actinomycetes; Actinomycetales
Description: partial 16S ribosomal RNA
Rfam family: Bacterial small subunit ribosomal RNA
Source: RNAcentral